This 485-nucleotide ribosomal RNA is filed under the name uncultured bacterium. RNAcentral describes it as "partial 16S ribosomal RNA". It matches the Rfam family "Bacterial small subunit ribosomal RNA", at positions 28 to 523 of the family's 1533-position model. The record is from RNAcentral.
GACUAACGCUGGCGGCGUGCUUAACACAUGCAAGUCGAACGGUGAAAGCGGAGCUUGCUCCGCUGGACCAGUGGCGAACGGGUGAGUAACACGUGGGCAACCUGCCCUUCACUUCGGGAUAACUCCGGGAAACCGGGGCUAAUACCGGAUAUGACCUCUGCGGGCAUGCGCGGAGGUGGAAAGUUUUUCGGUGCAGGAUGGGCCCGCGGCCUAUCAGCUUGUUGGUGAGGUAGUGGCUCACCAAGGCGACGACGGGUAGCCGGCCUGAGAGGGCGACCGGCCACCAUGGGACUGAGACACGGCCCAGACUCCUACGGGAGGCAGCAGGGGGGAAUAUUGCGCAAUGGGCGAAAGCCUGACGCAGCCACGCCGCGUGCGGGAUGACGGCCUUCGGGUUGUAAGCCGCUUUCAGCAGGGAAGAAGCCGCAAGGUGACGGUACCUGCAGAAGAAGCACCGGCUAACUACGUGCCAGCAGCCGCGGUAA